CGGGGUGCAGCAGGCGCGAAAACUUUGCAAUGCGGGAAACCGUGACAAGGGAACUCUGAGUGCCCGUUAAAUCGGGCUGUCCAUCGGUUUAAACAACCGGUGAAGAAAGGGCCGGGCAAGACCGGUGCCAGCCGCCGCGGUAAUACCGGCGGCUCGAGUGGUGGCCACUAUUACUGGGCUUAAAGCGUUCGUAGCUGGUUUGUUAAGUCUCUGGGGAAAGCUUCCGGCUCAACCGGAAGGCGUCUCAGGGAUACUGGCAGACUAGGGACCGGGAGAGGUGAGAGGUACUCCAGGGGUAGGAGUGAAAUCCUGUAAUCCUUGGGGGACCACCUGUGGCGAAGGCGUCUCACCAGAACGGCUCCGACAGUGAGGGACGAAAGCUGGGGGAGCAAACCGGAUUAGAUACCCGGGUAGUCCCAGCUGUAAACGAUGCGCGUUAGGUGUAUCGGUGACCACGAGUCACCGAGGUGCCGAAGAGAAAUCGUGAAACGUGCCGCCUGGGAAGUACGGUCGCAAGGCUGAAACUUAAAGGAAUUGGCGGGGGAGCAC
This 549-nucleotide ribosomal RNA is filed under the name uncultured archaeon. RNAcentral's name for it is "bacterial SSU rRNA". It matches the Rfam family "Archaeal small subunit ribosomal RNA", at positions 326 to 879 of the family's 1478-position model. The record is from RNAcentral.